RNAcentral lists this ribosomal RNA (483 nucleotides) under Bacillus pumilus. RNAcentral's name for it is "bacterial SSU rRNA". It matches the Rfam family "Bacterial small subunit ribosomal RNA", at positions 1 to 480 of the family's 1533-position model. Lineage: Bacteria; Bacillati; Bacillota; Bacilli; Caryophanales; Bacillaceae. The record is from RNAcentral.
UUGGAAAAAUUUGAUCCUGGCUCAGGACGAACGCUGGCGGCGUGCCUAAUACAUGCAAGUCGAGCGGACAGAAGGGAGCUUGCUCCCGGAUGUUAGCGGCGGACGGGUGAGUAACACGUGGGUAACCUGCCUGUAAGACUGGGAUAACUCCGGGAAACCGGAGCUAAUACCGGAUAGUUCCUUGAACCGCAUGGUUCAAGGAUGAAAGACGGUUUCGGCUGUCACUUACAGAUGGACCCGCGGCGCAUUAGCUAGUUGGUGGGGUAAUGGCUCACCAAGGCGACGAUGCGUAGCCGACCUGAGAGGGUGAUCGGCCACACUGGGACUGAGACACGGCCCAGACUCCUACGGGAGGCAGCAGUAGGGAAUCUUCCGCAAUGGACGAAAGUCUGACGGAGCAACGCCGCGUGAGUGAUGAAGGUUUUCGGAUCGUAAAGCUCUGUUGUUAGGGAAGAACAAGUGCGAGAGUAACUGCUCGCACCU